Molecule: long non-coding RNA, 2391 nt
Filed under: Citrus maxima (pomelo)
Lineage: Eukaryota; Viridiplantae; Streptophyta; Magnoliopsida; Sapindales; Rutaceae
Description: long non-coding RNA (CMAX_LNC001720)
Source: RNAcentral
UUUGCCUUAAAAAAUUUUUAAAAAAAAGCCGAUAAAAGGAAUAAAGGAAACGCGCAAUCCCUAACCACUCACAUUCGUUGUCUUCUUCUUCAAUUUUCACGAAUUACAAUCACAACGACUCACUCAGUCACACACACCAGCCCUAACCCCACCUAAGCUAUCAAACGCCAAUGCCGCUGCCGCUGUCAAAUCGAUUCAAGUGCUCCGGCGCUGAGUCUAGCCGUCCUUGAGCCGAUUUGCUUCCUUUUUCUGCCGCCGCUGUCAAUCUCUGCCAUUUUUGAGCCGAUUCACUUCCGCAAAACAGCUGCUGUCAUCUCUGCCGACAUUGCCUCUGUGUUCGUUCACCGUCAGAUGCAGUGUUAUUGUGGUGACACUGCCUCCGCUAUCAAGUCAGUUCAAAUUUUCUGGGUGCUAUCUCGAAAAUGUUUGUGAGAUUGUUGCCAAUGAUAUUCUAAAAUUUUGAAUUCAGGGUUAUUGUUUCACCACUGUGAGUUGCUUUCUCCAAUUUUGCAAUUCUUUCCUCUUAAUUUGCUUUGAAAUAUUUGCUCGUUGGAUUUAUUUCCUCUUCAUUUAUUUCGAUUUGGUGAUUUUGUGUUGUGUAGCUUGUACCUUAGUCUCUCCUUUUCCUUUCAUAAUAUUAUAAAAUAUGUCGUGCACUUUGGCCUUUCGUUUCUUGAUUUUCUUGGUUAAUGAAUUUGGAAAAAGAGUGAAUUAUGGGUAAGGGGAUAGAAAAUCACAUUGACAGAAAAGAGGACUGAAACGCCCUGAUUUUUACUAAGUGGAGUUUACUUAUUUGUUAAAAAAAUAAAUUUUAAAUUAUUAAUGAUUUAAUUGUCUUAUGCUUAUUAUAUUGUUCGUAAAAUUUUUGUUACAAGUCCAGCCCAUGAACCUCUUUAUGUUUUAGCAUUUCUUUAUUUAUUUACGAAACGAAAACCAGCGUUCGAAUUCAAAAGUAACAAAACAGAAAAAGGAAGAAAGGAAACAAGAGGAUAACAGGACGUGAGAGAGGAGAAGAGGGAGAAAGAAGAGAAAGACAAGAGAGGCUAGGUGAAGGAUUUGGAUUUAAAGAGAGAGAAUUCAAUUUCAGAGCAAAAUAUUAAAUAUCUGGCUUUUUAAAUUUGUAAGCCUUAUUCAAUUUCAGAGCAAAAUAUUAAAUAUCUGGCUUUUUAAAUUUGUAAGCCUUCUUUCUCAGUUCACUUUAUUCUUUUAUUUUUCUUCAAAAUUCUUGUUUAAAUUGGCAUGCUUGUUGAUGUUGUUAAGUCAUUUCUAAAUUAACUUGCAUGCAUGAUUAAAAUUCUGUUUAUUUAGGUAUUAUGUCAUUGAAAUUAGUCUCAUUUGCCAUGCUUGUUUCAAGUUCCGAUUCUUAUUUGAAAAAAAAAAAAUUUCUAUGUUCGUUCCAUAAUCUGUUUUGGGUAUUAAAGUUGAUACUACCUAGCAAAUUCUAAACUGUAAUGGCUGAUUUCUUCUCUUAUUUUUGUUUAAUCUAUUCAAAUUCAUGUAUAAAUUUACAGGUGUCAGAUAUUUGCCUAAUUAUCAUGUAUGUGUUAAAUUCAUUUUGGGUGAAUUUUUAUACUAUUUAAUCAACUUCAAAGUUACAUGGGUUUGGCCAAUUAUCACAUAAUCUCUUCUUUGACUAUUUGAUUAGAUUUUUGUUCAUGCGUGGCUUAAUUAAUUUCGAAAUCUUCUUACUUGUGAGUGUGGUCAAACCCCAAACAAAUGAAGAAGUCUUCUGGUUUUAUGUCUUAAAUAGAGUGCCUGUAAAUAUAAAAUCGAGAUUGAGCUAAUGAGUGAAAAUGAUGGUACUUGGAUUUUUUGAGGCUCUGUUUUUUUUUCUUUACUUUAAAAGCUAAUUUGUUUAGCUUUACCUUUGAUUUGAAUUUUUUGCUUCUGUUCUUUGCAGCCAACCUAUGAAAAUGGUGAUAAUUGGGCUCCAAUAAAUAUUGAUUUAAUAGGAACCACAUUGGUAAGCCUAGUUGCAAGACAAGAACUACUUUGCAAAGCAUGCUAUGUGUAUAAUUCUGAGCAUUAAGGAUUCAGUUUCUGAACGGCAAGCUUGCUGGCUGGGUAUAAAUGUUCCAAGUGCCAAUCCCACCUUAUGUAAGCACAAAAUAUAGUCUCCAUUUCCUUUUUGGAUUAUAUUUGUUUGUAUAGUUAUAUGAUACUGGAUUUUAAUUUAAGAAUUUGUGCAGUACAUUUUUUUACUGUUAGGAGUUAGUUUGAUCAAGGUUAUUUAAGUACUAAACUGUUACAAUUGAGCUUGUAUGCAUUUAAGUUCUUUAUAUGUAAAUGACAAUUAUAUCAAUGUGUAAUGUAAAUUGAAAUUUGCCAAUGUGGCUUCAAUUGUACAGUUUAGAAUGUGAAAAUAACUAUCUAAAUUUUAAUUUAAAAAAA